This is a long non-coding RNA of Mus musculus (house mouse), 281 nucleotides long. RefSeq annotates it as predicted gene, 41419. The record is from RefSeq and is a predicted model, not a curated record. The transcript is spliced from 3 exons. Lineage: Eukaryota; Metazoa; Chordata; Mammalia; Rodentia; Muridae.
CAGAGCCACACCUGCCUGCUGCCAAGCUCCCUGCCAUAAUGAUCAUGGACCAACCCUCUGAAACUUCUUGCAAUUAUUUUCAAGAAACUCAUUUUGUCUGCACACCUGGGCAGAUGCAAGUUCAGAUUCGAGUGGGCGUAGACUGCUCCAGCAACUUCUAGCAAGGUCUGUCUGCCUGCAGCCCACUACACCACAGACAAAGAGGCUUCAGCACCUGAUUGGACACAGCACCUUGAUGCUCCACCUGCUUACCUUAGCCAGCUGUGUCUGCAGCUUGUUCU